Molecule: ribosomal RNA, 450 nt
Filed under: uncultured bacterium
Lineage: Bacteria
Description: partial 16S ribosomal RNA
Rfam family: Bacterial small subunit ribosomal RNA
Source: RNAcentral
GUGGGGAAUUUUGGACAAUGGGCGAAAGCCUGAUCCAGCAAUGCCGCGUGCAGGAUGAAGGCCCUCGGGUUGUAAACUGCUUUUGUACGGAACGAAAAGCCUGGGGCUAAUAUCCCCGGGUCAUGACGGUACCGUAAGAAUAAGCACCGGCUAACUACGUGCCAGCAGCCGCGGUAAUACGUAGGGUGCAAGCGUUAAUCGGAAUUACUGGGCGUAAAGCGUGCGCAGGCGGUUUUGUAAGACAGUGGUGAAAUCCCCGGGCUCAACCUGGGAACUGCCAUUGUGACUGCAAGGCUAGAGUGCGGCAGAGGGGGAUGGAAUUCCGCGUGUAGCAGUGAAAUGCGUAUAUAUGCGGAGGAACACCGAUGGCGAAGGCAAUCCCCUGGGCCUGCACUGACGCUCAUGCACGAAAGCGUGGGGAGCAAACAGGAUUAGAAACCCCGGUAGUCC